Oncorhynchus keta (chum salmon) is the source of this 6141-nucleotide long non-coding RNA. RefSeq lists it as uncharacterized. NCBI's taxonomy places the organism in Eukaryota, Metazoa, Chordata, Actinopteri, Salmoniformes, Salmonidae. The record is from RefSeq and is a predicted model, not a curated record. The transcript is spliced from 4 exons.
GACCUCUCCCUGACUGACUGACACACACACACACACACACACACACACACACACACACACACACACACACACACACACACACACACACACACACACACACACACACACACACACACACACACACACACACACACACACACAGUGUGACUCUGGGCAACUUGCCACUCCUGGCACACGAGCAGAUAACACAUUUAUUUCAGAGUCACUUGUUUUCAACUGUAUAGUUAUGACCGAGGAAUGUUUCUCAAAGAUGAGCAACAAUACAUAGAAGCUGAAAAGGGGGUGUUAGAAUUGGAGCACAUUAACUUGAUAUAAAAUAUAAGACCAUCGUCAACACAUUUCUAUGCCUACAUGCUUACACCAUACUUCGAAGAUACUCCACUAGUGUCUUUACAAGUCACACAACUUCCUUUUCUUACUUUAGAACUCAGCACCAUCCUCAGCCUGCAGCAACAGUUCCAGUUGAGUCUUACAUACAGUAAUCUCUGAUCGCUGAAUGGUGAUCCACUUAACAGAUUCUGCCUGCGAUCAGUCGGUGGCUCACCCCACAAAGCCACUCAACUGGAUUCAUGUAUUAGGCAAGCUCAGAGGUAAGAACUCACCCCACAAAGCCACUCAACUGGAUUCAUGUAUUAGGCAAGCUCAGAGGUAAGAACUCACCCCACAAAGCCACUCAACUGGAUUCAUGUAUUAGGCAAGCUCAGAGGUAAGAACUCACCCCACAAAGCCACUCAACUGGAUUCAUGUAUUAGGCAAGCUCAGAGGUAAGAACUCACCCCACAAAGCCACUCAACUGGAUUCAUGUAUUAGGCAAGCUCAGAGGUAAGAACUCACCCCACAAAGCCACUCAACUGGAUUCAUGUAUUAGGCAAGCUCAGAGGUAAGAACUCACCCCACAAAGCCACUCAACUGGAUUCAUGUAUUAGGCAAGCUCAGAGGUAAGAACUCACCCCACAAAGCCACUCAACUGGAUUCAUGUAUUAGGCAAGCUCAGAGGUAAGAACUCACCCCACAAAGCCACUCAACUGGAUUCAUGUAUUAGGCAAGCCAAGAGGGUAAAAGUAAAUAGAGGUAUACAAAAACAAAAACACAAACAUGCACACAGAUAGACACACAGCCAGAAACACAGAAAGAGAGAGAAGGUAAGAGCGAAAGAAAGAAAGGAAAGAAAGAGAAAAAGUAAUAAAACAUUACCCACUCGUGAUGUUCCCUCUUAUUUUAUCAUACAUGGUGAUCCAUGUGGGCGUAAAGGAACACUGAGGAGGUUGUUUCAUCCAAUGCCUGUUUGCCUGAGGCUGAUGAUAGGUGAUUGUAUGAGUGUACACAUGCAUAUAUACAAACUCACAUUCAAAACGCACACAUGUGCACACACGCGGACACACACAUACAUACAUACAUACAAACAUGCCCCCAGGCCUGGAGGGAAGCAAAAGUAAUUACGCUACCCAAGAAUAGUAAAGCCCCCUUUACUGGCUCAAAUUUGGUUUGAUACAAUGCUGUUUUACAGUAAACAAAUUGACAAAAGACUUUCAGCAAGCUUGUAGGGGAGGACAUUCAACAAGCACAGCACUUACACAAAUGACUGAUGAUUGACAGAGAAAUUGAUGAUAAAAAGAUUUUGGUAGCUGUUUUGUUAGACUUCAAUGCGGCUUUAGACAUUAUCGAUCAUAGUCUGCUGAUGGAAAGACGUAUGCAUUAUGGUUUUACACCCCCUGCUAUAUUGUGGAUAAAGAGUUACCUGUCUAACAGAACACAGAGGGUGUUCUUUAACUUCACUAGGGUAGGGGGCAGCAUUCGGAAUUUUGGAUGAAAAGCGUACCCAAAUGAAACUGCCUGCUACUCAGGCCCAUAAGCUAGGAUAUGCAUAUAAUUAGUAGAUAUCGAUAGACAACACACUACCGUUUCCAAAACUGUUAAAAUAAUGUAUGUGAGUAUAACAGAACUGAUAUGGCAGGCAAAAACCAGAGGAAAAUCUAACCAGGAAGCACUAUUAUUUUGAAAGGCUGUUUUUCCAUUGAAAGCCUAUCCACCAUACAAAGACUUAGGACCCAGUUCUAUGGCUUCCUCAACAUGUGACCAGUAUUUAGGCAUUGUUAGAGGACAGUGGAAAUUUCCAUCCAUGAACCAAACACGUGAUCGGGAGCACGCAUUUCUUGUUUACAUUUUCCAUAUGCUUUUGUCUGGUUGAAAUAUUAUUUAUGACAAAAACAACCUGAGGAUUGAUUUUACACAUCGUUUGACAUGUUUCUAUGAACUUUUAUUGUACUUAUUUGACUUUUCGUCUUGGUUUUGAGAGCGCGCAUUGUGCCUUUCUGAACUACACGCACCAACAAAAUGGAGGUAUUUGGACAUAAAGAUGAACUUUAUCGAACAAAACGAACAUUUGUUGUCUAACAUGGAGACCUGGGAGUUGUAUUUGUUAUUAUUUUAAUUUUAUUUCACCUUUAUUUAACCAGGUAGGCUAGUUGAGAACAAGUUCUCAUUUGCAACUGCGACCUGGCCAAGAUAAAGCAUAGCAGUGUGAACAGACAACACAGAGUUACACAUGGGGUAAACAAUUAACAAGUCAAUAACACAGUAGAAAAAAAGAAAGAGUCUAUAUACAUUGUGUGCAAAAGAUAUGAGGAGGUAGGCGAAUAAUUACAAUUUUGCAGAUUAACACUGGAGUGAUAAAUGAUCAGAUGGUCAUGUACAGGUAGAGAUAUUGGUGUGCAAAAAAGCAGAAAAGUAAAUAAAUAUAAACAGUAUGGGGAUGAGGUAGGUAAAAUUGGAUGGGCUAUUUACCGAUAGACUAUGUACAGCUGCAGCGAUCGGUUAGCUGCUCAGAUAGCAGAUGUUUGAAGUUGGUGAGGGAGAUAAAAGUCUCCAACUUCAGCGAUUUUUGCAAUUCGUUCCAGUCACAGGCAGCAAGCUUUUUUCCAUCUACGUAACAUUGCAAAAAUCAGAAACUUUCUGUCCAAAAAUGAUGCAGAAAAAUGUAUCCAUGCUUUUGUCACUUCUCGAUUAGACAACUGCAAUACUUUCCGGCUACCCGGAUAAAGCACUAAAUAAACUUCAGUUGGUGCUAAAUACGGCUGCUAGAAUCCUGACUAGAACCAAAAGAAUUGAUCAUAUUACUCCAGUGCUAGCCUCUCUACACUGGCUUCCUGUCAAAGCAAGGGCUGAUUUCAAGGUUUUACUGCUAACCUACAAAGCAUUACAUGGGCUUGCUCCUACCUAUCUCUCUGAUUUGGUCCUGCCGUACAUACCUACACGUACGCUACGGUCACAAGACGCAGGCCUCCUAAUUGUCCCUACAAUUUCUAAGCAAACAGCUGGAGGCAGGGCUUUCUCCUAUAGAGCUCCAUUUUUAUGGAAUGGUCUGCCUACCCAUGUAAGAGACGCAAACUCUGUCUCAACCUUUAAGUCUUUACUGAAGACUCAUCUCUUCAGUGGGUCAUAUGAUUGAGUGUAGUCUGGCCCAGGAGUGGGAAGGUGAACGGAAAGGCUCUGGAGCAACGAACCGCCCUUGCUGUCUCUGCCUGGCCGGUUCCCCUCUUUCCACUGGGAUUCUCUGCCUCUAACCCUAUUACAGGGGCUGAGUCACUGGCUUACUGGGGCUCUCUCAUUCCGUCCCUGGAAGGGGUGCGUCACCUGAGUGGGUUGAUUCACUGAUGUGGUCAUCCUGUCUGGGUUGGCGCCCCCCCUUGGGUUGUGCCAUGGCGGAGAUCUUUGUGGGCUAUACUCAGCCUCGUCUCAGGAUGGUAAGUUGGUGGUUGAAGAUGUCCCUCUAGUGGUGUGGGGGCUGUGCUUUGGCAAAGUGGGUGGGGUUAUAUCCUUCCUGUUUGGCCCUGUCCGGGGGUGUCCUCGGAUGGGGCCACAGUGUCUCCUGACCCCUCCUGUCUCAGCCUCCAGUAUUUAUGCUGCAGUAGUUUGUGUCGUGGGGCUAGGGUCAGUUUGUUAUAUCUGGAGUACUUCUCUCCUGUCCUAUUCAGUGUCCUGUGUGAAUCUAAGUGUGCGUUCUCUAAUUCUCUCCUUCUCUCUUUCUUUCUCUCUCUCGGAGGACCUGAGCCCAAGGACCCAGGACAACCUGACAUGAUGACUCCUUGCUGUCCCCAGUCCACCUGGCCGUGCUGCUGCUCCAGUUUCAACUGUUCUGCCUUAUUAUUAUUCGACCAUGCUGGUCAUUUAUGAACAUUUUAACACCUUGGCCAUGUUCUGUUAUAAUCUCCACCCGGCACAGCCAGAAGAGGACUUGCCACCCCACAUAUGCUCUCUCUAAUUCUCUCUUUCUUUCUCUCUCUCGGAGGACCUGAGCCCUAGGACCAUGCCCCAGGACUACCUGACAUGAUGACUCCUUGCUGUCCCCAGUCCACCUGACCGUGCUGCUACUCCAGUUUCAACUGUUCUGCCUUAUUAUUAUACGACCAUGCUGGUCAUUUAUGAACAUUUGAACAUCUUGGCCAUGUUCUGUUAUAAUCUCCACCCGGCACAGCCAGAAGAGGACUGGCCACCCCACAUAGCCUGGUUCCUCUCUAGGUUUCUUCCUAGGUUUUGGCCUUUCUAGGGAGUUUUUCCUAGCCACCGUGCUUCUACAACUGCAUUGCUUGCUGUUUGGGGUUUUAGGCUGGGUUUCUGUACAGCACUUUGAAAUAUGUGCUGAUGUACGAAGGGCUAUAUAAAUACAUUUGAUUUGAUUUGAUUUUGAACUGGAACGAAAGGCGGCCAAAUGAGGUGUUGGCUUUAGGGAUGAUCAGUGAGAUACACCUGCUGGAGCACGUGCUACGGGUGGGUGUUGCCAUCGUGACCAGUGAACUGAGAUAAGGCGGAGCUUUACCUAGCAUGGACUUGUAGAUGACCUGGAGCCAGUGGGUCUGGCGACGAAUAUGUAGCGAGAGCCAGCCGACUAGAGCAUACAGGUCGCAGUGGUGGGUGGUAUAAGGUGCUUUAGUAACAAAACGGAUGGCACUGUGAUAAACUGCAUCCAGUUUGCUGAGUAGAGUGUUGGAAGCUAUUUUGUAGAUGACAUCGCCAAAGUCGAGGAUCGGUAGGAUAGUCAGUUUUACUAGGGUAAGUUUGGCGGCGUGAGUGAAGGAGGCUUUGUUGCGGAAUAGAAAGUCGACUCUAGAUUUGAUUUUAGAUUGGAGAUGUUUGAUAUGAGUCUAGAAGGAGAGUUUACUGUCUAGCCAGACACCUAGGUACUUAUAGAUGUCCACAUAUUCUAGGUUGGAACCAUCCAGGGUGGUGAUGCUAGUCGGGCGUGCGGGUGCAGGCAGCGAACGGUUGAAAAGCAUGCAUUUGGUUUUACUAGCGUUUAAGAGCAGUUGGAGGCCACGGAAGGAGUGCUGCAUGGCAUUGAAGCUCAUUUGGAGGUUAGAUAGCACAGUGUCCAAGGACGGGCCGGAAGUAUACAGAAUGGUGUCGUCUGCGUAGAGGUGGAUCAGGGAAUCGCCCGCAGCAAGAGCAACAUCAUUGAUAUAUACAGAGAAAAGAGUCGGCCCGAGAAUUGAACCGUGUGGCAUCCCCAUACACACUGCCAGAGGACCGAACAGCAUGACCUCCGAUUUGACACACUGAACUCUGUCUGCAAAGUAGUUGGUGAACCAGGCAAGGCAGUCAUCAGUAAAAAACCGAGGCUACUGAGUCUGCCGAUAAAAAUAUGGUGAUUGACAGAGCCGAAAGCCUUGGCAAGGUCGAUGAAGACGGCUGCACAGUACUGUCUUUUAUCGAUGGUGGUUAUGAUAUCGUUUAGUACCUUGACCGUGGCUGAGGUGCACCCGUGACCGGCUCGGAAACCAGAUUGCAUAGUGGAGAAGAUACGGUGAGAUUCGAGAUGGUCAGUGACCUGUUUGUUGACUUGGCUUUCGAAGACCUUAGAUAGGCAGGGCAGGAUGGAUAUAGGUCUGUAACCGUUUGGGUCCAGGGUGUCUCCCCCUUUGAAGAGGGGGAUGACUGCGGCAGCUUUCCAAUCCUUGGGGAUCUCAGACGAUAUGAAAGAGAGGUUGAACAGGCUGGUAAUAGGGGUUGCGACAAUGGCGUAGAUAGUUUCAGAAAUAGAGGGUCCAGAUUGUCAAGCCCAGCUGAUUUGUACGGGUCCAGGUUUUGCAGCUCUUUCAGAACAUCUGCUAUCUGGAUUUGGGUAGAGGAGAACCUGGAGAGGCU